UACGGAGGGUGCAAGCGUUGUUCGGAUUUAUUGGGCGUAAAGCGCGUGUAGGCGGUUUCUUAAGUCUGAUGUGAAAGCCCGGAGCUCAACUCCGGAACUGCCUUUUAGACUGCAUCGCUUGAAUCCAGGAGAGGUGAGUGGAAUUCCGAGUGUAGAGGUGAAAUUCGUAGAUAUUCGGAAGAACACCAGUGGCGAAGGCGACUUACUGGACGAUUGUUGACGCUGAGGUGCGAGAGCGUGGGGAGCAAACAGG
This 253-nucleotide ribosomal RNA is filed under the name uncultured bacterium. Its description in RNAcentral is "partial 16S ribosomal RNA". It matches the Rfam family "Bacterial small subunit ribosomal RNA", at positions 524 to 776 of the family's 1533-position model. The record is from RNAcentral.